UAGGGAAUCAUCGGCAAUGGACGAAAGUCUGACCGAGCAACGCCGCGUGAGUGAAGAAGGUUUUCGGAUCGUAAAACUCUGUUGUUAGAGAAGAACAAGGACGUUAGUAACUGAACGUCCCCUGACGGUAUCUAACCAGAAAGCCACGGCUAACUACGUGCCAGCAGCCGCGGUAAUACGUAGGUGGCAAGCGUUGUCCGGAUUUAUUGGGCGUAAAGCGAGCGCAGGCGGUUUCUUAAGUCUGAUGUGAAAGCCCCCGGCUCAACCGGGGAGGGUCAUUGGAAACUGGGAGACUUGAGUGCAGAAGAGGAGAGUGGAAUUCCAUGUGUAGCGGUGAAAUGCGUAGAUAUAUGGCGGAACACCAGUGGCGAAGGCGGCUCUCUGGUCUGUAACUGACGCUGAGGCUCGAAAGCGUGGGGAGCAAACAGG
RNAcentral lists this ribosomal RNA (429 nucleotides) under Gemmatimonadota bacterium. RNAcentral's name for it is "Gemmatimonadetes bacterium partial 16S ribosomal RNA". It matches the Rfam family "Bacterial small subunit ribosomal RNA", at positions 355 to 776 of the family's 1533-position model. Lineage: Bacteria; Pseudomonadati; Gemmatimonadota. The record is from RNAcentral.